This 273-nucleotide unclassified non-coding RNA is filed under the name Hevea brasiliensis (rubber tree). The record is from RNAcentral. Lineage: Eukaryota; Viridiplantae; Streptophyta; Magnoliopsida; Malpighiales; Euphorbiaceae.
UACUUCUAGAAAUGUUAUCUGGCCGACGAGCUAUAGACAAGAAUCGGCCAACAGGGCAGCAUAAUCUGGUGGAGUGGGCAAAACCUUACUUGACAAACAAACGCAAAAUUCUCCAUGUGUUGGAUACGCGUCUGGAUGGCCAAUACUCCCUCAGUCGAGCCCAAAAGUUGGCUAACCUUGCACUUAAAUGCUUAGAUGUAGAACCAAAGUUCAGACCAAACAUGGAUGAGGUGGUAAAGGAAUUAGAGCAGCUUCAAGAAUCAAAUAAAAAAG